This 820-nucleotide long non-coding RNA is filed under the name Sorghum bicolor (sorghum). Its description in RNAcentral is "long non-coding RNA (SBIC_LNC013546)". The record is from RNAcentral. Lineage: Eukaryota; Viridiplantae; Streptophyta; Magnoliopsida; Poales; Poaceae.
GCUAAUUAAGGUCCAAACAGAGGCUAACACCUUGUUAGCCACUAGCAUAACACAACUCGAUCAAUUUCUCUACUUCAAUGGGCACGCACGCAAGGUUAAAUAAUGCACACAGCAGCUUUAUCCCAACACACUGCACAAAUACAAUGCUCUGUUUUCCAUAAGACACAAAUAUAGUUGGCCAUGCAGCCCGUGGCCCGUUGGCACGGCCCGUGGCACGACAUUUUGGCCCGGCCCGAGCACGGCACGGCCAACUACCGGGCCCGGCCCGGCACGGCCCGAGGCACCGGGCCGUGCCUGGGCCGCCACCGUGGCCCGUGGCACGGCUCAGGCACGGCUCGACGGCUCGGUGCUUAAUGUCCCAGUAAAAAAUAUAGCUUUUUAAUUUAAAAAAGAGAAAAUAUAGGUCUGUUUUGCCCAUCCAUCCGUCCUGAUUGGCCUGUUAAGAAAUGUAGCCUACUAAUUUUAAACAAAAAAAAGAAAAUAUAGGCCUGCUACUGGCCUGACACGACCUUGGCCCGGUGGCCCGCCGUGCCUUCGGGCCGGCCCGACGGCCCGCGGGCCGUGCCUUGGGCCAUACCCCCGGCACGAGGCACGGUGAUGGCACGGCCCGGCCGGCACGACGGCACGGCGCGGCCCGGGGCAGGCACGCCGGGCCGCCGGGCCGGGCCGGCACGGCCCGAUGGCCAUCUAGACACAAACCUAACUUUCAACCAAAGUUUGAACACAAACACAGUACGUUAACAAAAGAACCCCGACCUACCAUAUGUCAGUGCUCCCUUGGCCUUCCACUGAUGGGCUGCAGCGCUCGCCUUGACGAGUC